GUCUCUGUAAGCACUUUAUUUGGUUAUUGCACAUAAGCAAUUGACAGUGGACUCGAGUUUCCUAGUGCACUUUGUAUUUCCAUGAGCAUUCCUGCAGUGCCUAACCUCUUCCCCCAAAGCCACAGCUGGGGUCACUACCCAGAGGGGACACUCAUCACCCCAGAAAGGGAAGGACUCUGCCAGCCAGCCCACGGCACGCAUCCCAAGCAGCUAGAGCUCUGAGUUGCACUUGUCCAUCGAUUGCACAUACAAUAAAUAAAUGCACUUAUUGGAGAAGGGCAGUCGGUUCCCCUGGGAUCUGUUCUCCUCGUUAUAAUUCAAGUGUUAAAUGUGGCGCUCUGCAUAUAUCACAUUCUGCUACUGAAGCGAUCGGAACAUACCACUGGCGUGGGGCAGCGAGGGGCUGUGUCUCUCACAAACAUAUUGCUAAGGUAAGGCCUGGCUGGGGGGGACCCGGGGUGGGGACCGUCCCUGUCUCACCCUUUGGAGGGGAGCGGAGCAGCUCCAGCUCCCAGAGGAGCUCCACUCAUUUCUUUCCCACGGCAGGUGCCGGCUCUGGGGCUUUGCCCUCCUUGCUGGGGGGCUUCUCAGCUUUGGGGGGCUCUUUACUGGCUUUGGAGUCAUCUUUGGGUUUUGAUUUGGGGUCUUCCACCUUCUCCUUCUUUGGUUCCUCCACCGUUUUCUUUGGUUCCUCCACCUUUUCCUCAGCCUUAGGCUUCUCUGGCUCCUUCACAGCUGCUUUGCCACCCUCCUGCUGAGGCUUUGGUUGAGCAUCCUUCUCAGCUUUCCCUUCUUCUGCAGGUUUGGAGGCAGCCUUGGUCUCCUUCACCUGUGGGGCUGGAGGCUCUGGCCCAGCAGCUGCCUUCUCUUUGGGUUUCUCCUCCGCCUUGGCCGGGGCAUCCUUCUUGGGAGCCUCAUCCUUCCUGCCCUCUGCUGCAGGCUUGGGGGGAGCCUUCUCCUCCUUGGGCUGCUCUUCCUUUGCAGGGGCCUUUGGCUCCUUUGGAGGGGCGGGGACAGGCUCCUUGGCUGGGGCUGCCUCCUUCUGUGGGGACUUGGCUUCCUCCUUCGCUGGGGACUUGGCUUUUUCUGGGGACUUCACAGUCGGGGUCUUGGCCUCCUCCUUUGAGGGAGACACAGGUUUCUCUGGGGAUUUGGCAGCUGGGGUCUUGGCCUCCUCUUUUGAGGGGGGUGUGGGUUUCUCUGGGGACUUGACUGCUGGGGUCUUGGCUUCCUCCUUUGGGGGGGUUGAGGGCUUUUCUGGUGACUUGACAGCUGGGGACUUGGCCUCCUCUUUUGAGGGGGUUGCGGGUUUCUCUGGGGACUUGACAGCUGGGCUCUUGGCCUCCUCCUUCAAGGCGGUUGGUGGCUUUUCUGGGGAUUUAACAGAUGGAGGCUUGGUCUCCUCCUUUGUAGGGGUCGGUGGCUUUUCUGGGGACUUCACAGUCGGGGUCUUUGCCUCCUCUUUUAAAGGUGUUGCAGGUUUUUCUGGGGACUUGACAGGUGGGCUCUUGGCCUCCUCUUUUGAGGGCACUGGGGGUUUUUCUGGGGAUUUGACAGCUGGGGACUUGGCCUCUUCCUUUGAGGGGGGUGCAGGUUUCUCUGGGGACUUGACAGCUGGGCUCUUGGCCUCUUCCUUUGAGGGAGUUGAGGGCUUUUCUGGGGACUUGACAGCUGGGCUCUUGGCCUCCUCCUUUGAGGGGGUUGAGGGCUUUUCUGGGGACUUGACCGCUGGAGACUUGUCUUCCUCCUUUGAGGGGGUUGAGGGCUUUUCUGGAGACUUGACUGUUGGGGACUUGGCUUCCUCCUUUGAGGGGGUUGAGGGCUUUUCUGGAGACUUGACUGUUGGGGACUUGGCUUCCUCCUUUGAGGGGGUUGAGGGCUUUUCUGGGGACUUGACUGCUGGGGACUUGGCCUCUUCCUUUGUAGGGGACUCAGGUUUCUCCGGGGACUUGGCUUCUUCUUCACCCUCUGGUUCAGCUUUCUCCUCUUCCUUCUCUUCUUCAGCUUUCUCCUCUUCAGCUUCCUUCUCAGCCUCCUCCUCCUCGGUCACCUCUUCAGUCACUUGGAUUUCCUCUGUCUGCUCCUCCACAAUCACUGUCUCCUUCUCAGAUUUCUCCACCACCUUGAUUUUCUCUUCACUUUUCACCUUGAUGUUGGCGGCGAUGCUGGGAGCCUUGGGGACCACUUCGGGGUAGGAGACCAUUCCAAAGCCGGUCUCAAUCCUAUACUCCUCUCCUUCCAAGAGCUUUCUGCCAGGAGAAGACCAGAGCAGGGCCAUCAGCAGCUGCACCCACACCCUGCAGGAACAUCUCCCUCCCUGCCAUCUGUAUGCCAUCCCCCCCAUGCAGGCUUCCUCACCCUUCCUUCCACAAUCCCUGUGCAAGGCUGGUUUUGGAGGACAGACUUGUCACUCUUAUGAAGAAGGACUCCAGGUGUUAGCAAGGGCUCUCAAGGAAUGUUCUCAGAGACACCAUCGCUGGGGACUGGCCAAGACAUGCACCCCCAUUCCCUUUGCCAACCCCAUACCUAUAGGCAGCAAUUUCAAUAUCCAGGGCCAUUUUGACGUUAAGCAGAUCCUGGUACUCGCGGAGCUGAGCUGCCAUCUCCCACUUGGUGUUUCUCAGCUCAUUGUCAAGCUGCUGGAUGGUUUCCUGCAACAGACAGAGUCACUUGGUACCAUGCAGGGAGGGAAGGGGGAAAAUGCUGGGGCUCUUUCAGUUUGUCCUUGAGGAAACCCCUGA
Molecule: long non-coding RNA, 2741 nt
Filed under: Gallus gallus (chicken)
Lineage: Eukaryota; Metazoa; Chordata; Aves; Galliformes; Phasianidae
Description: long non-coding RNA NONGGAT002970
Source: RNAcentral